AGCUUUGCGCAGAGGUAAUAUCGUAACCAAUUAAGUUCUACUGAGGUGCCAUUAUUGCUAUUUGAAAAAAAUUAAAUUAAGUGAAAAAUUGCAUUAUAUUAAAUUAACUUGAAAAAUAAGAAAUUUUUUAAACAACGGAAACGGU
Teleopsis dalmanni is the source of this 145-nucleotide small nuclear RNA. RefSeq annotates it as U4 spliceosomal RNA. The transcript has a single exon. The record is from RefSeq and is a predicted model, not a curated record. Lineage: Eukaryota; Metazoa; Arthropoda; Insecta; Diptera; Diopsidae.